CACCCUGGCCGCGGCCCGCGUUGGAUCGAUGCGUGCAGUCCAUCUGCGUCUCCGUGUGGGGCCGUUCACGGAGCACGCGCGCGAGGAAGGGAUGAGAAGAGCCCGUUCGGCGCAUGACCCCGAUGCAACGGCAGGGCGGCUCGUCCGAGACGACGACGGAUGUAGCUGCAGUGCGACAGAGGUGGAUGAGCUGUGGUUGUGCACGCGCAUAGUUUUUGGUUUGUUUACGGUGGAAUGACCUGCUGAUAGGAAGAAAGCCACUAACGUUUUCUUUACAGGUGGUGGUGCUGUUGCUGUGCGCACACCCCAUUCGGUAUUGAGCGGCACACGUACACGCGGGCUUACUCGCCAUGUCAUGCACGUUUGACGCCCUACACGUAUGUGUAUCCGUGCAUGCCUGUGCACGUGUGCGCUUCAGUGGCGGUGCGGAUGCAUCCGCGCGUGUAGAACACGUGCACGGACACCCUGACGAGGUAUUGGCGUUGUUAUUCGUUUCCCUGUCGUCUUCAUGGUAGUUCUCCUUUGUGCUGCCCCCGUCCCCGUCCUCUCUUGCGCCGGCGUGGCGUUGUGCCUGCCGGCCUAACUCGCCUGCCCAUUAUGAGGCGUCCGCCAGAAACCACAGAAAGCACUAUAGUUUUCGGGGCAGGGAUGCAGACAGUCGCGGCAGCUCCUCCUCCUCCUCCCCCCUUUUUCUCCCGUACUCAUAAGCGCGCUCUCCCGGGGCACUCUCGACUGACAGGCCUCCAUCCGCCCAGAGAGCUCGCACUUAGCUGUCUGCGGGCUCACCCGCUUAUGGCGGCCUCUUCCUCUCGCUCGCCCUCACACGUGCACCCCCCUCCUCUCCCCCUCCCUCUCAUUGCCUUCCAUCCGUGGCCUGCCCACUCGCUUCUCACAUUUCAACGGUAG
This 906-nucleotide unclassified non-coding RNA is filed under the name Leishmania donovani. RNAcentral's name for it is "gene:unknown". Lineage: Eukaryota; Euglenozoa; Kinetoplastea; Trypanosomatida; Trypanosomatidae. The record is from RNAcentral.